Molecule: transfer RNA, 77 nt
Filed under: Chloroflexota bacterium
Lineage: Bacteria; Bacillati; Chloroflexota
Also listed under: 1 other name
Description: Chloroflexi bacterium tRNA-Asp
Rfam family: tRNA
About the family: Transfer RNA (tRNA) molecules are approximately 80 nucleotides in length. Their secondary structure includes four short double-helical elements and three loops (D, anti-codon, and T loops).
Source: RNAcentral
GGCCCCGUGGUGUAGUGGUCUAACACGCCUCCCUGUCAAGGAGGAGAUCGGCAGUUCAAAUCUGCUCGGGGUCGCCA